Long non-coding RNA from Theobroma cacao (cacao), 1189 nucleotides. RefSeq lists it as uncharacterized. NCBI's taxonomy places the organism in Eukaryota, Viridiplantae, Streptophyta, Magnoliopsida, Malvales, Malvaceae. The record is from RefSeq and is a predicted model, not a curated record.
UAUUACACGGAUGAUGGUUAAAGGGACGCAUUCAAAAUCGAGACCUAGAUCAACAAAUGCCUCUGGAAGUAUGUUGUUGCCUACAAAUGUUAGUGCAUUUGCUGAUCUAUCCAUUAAACCACAUAUGCAAUAGGUCAAUAAUGAUGUGCCUUUUGAGCCACUUUCUUUGUUGGGUGCAUCUGCAGAGCAAGUAGAAAAUGAGACAUUUACUCACGAUUCUUGUAAAUCACCAUCUAUUGAUUUAGGUGCAAGUGUAGAUAAUACAUCCUCAAGGUCAAAGAGUAGGGGGCUUGGUGUAGGAUUAUAGACUCCUGUAGAUCCAUUCGACAGAUUGUGUAUAACUCCUAUUGGGGAGAGGAAAAAUGUGUUUGGCUUGCAAAUCAAGAUGUUUUGGCUCAACAAAUAUGGGAUAAAAUUUGUUCUGAUCGAUUAAGAGACAUGCUUUAAGAAAAAAGGAAUAAAGUAAUGACAGAAGCCAAAACAAAGAACAUUAGGGAUUGCAAAGGCAUGUCAAGGGAAUGGAUCACAAAUGAAAUUUGGGAUGCCCUUAUCGAUAUGGUAUGGGGUACAGAAGAAUGGCAAAACAAAUCAAGAAAAGCAAGGCAAAAUCGUUUAACGUCAAAAGAAGGAAGCAUUCCAAAGCACAUUGACAGUUCAGUUCCAUUUGUUGUUCAUGCAAAAAGGAUGGAAAUGUAUAAUUUUGUAUUAUCGCAGAAGUAUGGUAAGUAUUCAUCUUCUCAGCUAGAAUAAGAUCUGCAUGCUUGGACUGAAGCAAUUGCAGGGAUGGAGACUACACGCACUCAGGUUUAUGGGUUUGGUACUCGAGUGCUUGUUACAACUUUACGUAGUGGAACACACAACAAUGUAGCAACAGCUGAGUCUGCAUGUGGCCCUAUCAAUUCAAACGCUACCAGUCCCGCAAUUGCAUUAGAAGAAAAAGUGAAAAAUCUUUCAAAAAACUUGGGUAAGAUAUGUGAGGAAAUACGUGAGAAAAUACAUGAAGAAAUUAAGAAUGCAAUGACGGAAGCAUGAGUGAAUUUAUUUCAUGUAUGAAAAUCAUGAUCAUGACUAAUACACUUUCAAAACAAGGAAAUGCGUGACCUUCAAGCUCAAAUCUUGACAAGUAAGAACACAACAUUUCAUGAUAUGAUGUCUCUUUUUCACUGUUACACUUGGAUACUUUUUAGUA